Molecule: long non-coding RNA, 201 nt
Filed under: Glycine max (soybean)
Lineage: Eukaryota; Viridiplantae; Streptophyta; Magnoliopsida; Fabales; Fabaceae
Description: long non-coding RNA (GMAX_LNC000095)
Source: RNAcentral
GGGUAUACAGUGACAACUAAUAGUCUGUCACUAUAGGCUUUACCUACGGAUAUAUUUUUACCUACAGUCAAAUUUAACUAUCACUAUAGGUAUCACCUACUAUUUCAAAUGUGUAGGUAAAAGAUAUUAAUUUAUACCUAUAAUCUCUAACUGUAGGUAAAAGUCAAUUUACUUGUACCUACGGUCUUCUGUAGGUAAAUG